AAGUCGAACGGUAACAGGUUAAGCUGACGAGUGGCGAACGGGUGAGUAAUAUAUCGGAACGUGCCCAGUCGUGGGGGAUAACUGCUCGAAAGAGCAGCUAAUACCGCAUACGACCUGAGGGUGAAAGCGGGGGAUCGCAAGACCUCGCGCGAUUGGAGCGGCCGAUAUCAGAUUAGGUAGUUGGUGGGGUAAAGGCCCACCAAGCCAACGAUCUGUAGCUGGUCUGAGAGGACGACCAGCCACACUGGGACUGAGACACGGCCCAGACUCCUACGGGAGGCAGCAGUGGGGAAUUUUGGACAAUGGGCGCAAGCCUGAUCCAGCCAUGCCGCGUGCGGGAAGAAGGCCUUCGGGUUGUAAACCGCUUUUGUCAGGGAAGAAAAGGUUCUGGUUAAUACCUGGGACUCAUGACGGUACCUGAAGAAUAAGCACCGGCUAACUACGUGCCAGCAGCCGCGGUAAUACGUAGGGUGCAAGCGUUAAUCGGAAUUACUGGGCGUAAAGCGUGCGCAGGCGGUUAUGCAAGACAGAGGUGAAAUCCCCGGGCUCAACCUGGGAACUGCCUUUGUGACUGCAUGGCUAGAGUACGGUAGAGGGGGAUGGAAUUCCGCGUGUAGCAGUGAAAUGCGUAGAUAUGCGGAGGAACACCGAUGGCGAAGGC
RNAcentral lists this ribosomal RNA (661 nucleotides) under uncultured Comamonadaceae bacterium. Its description in RNAcentral is "bacterial SSU rRNA". It matches the Rfam family "Bacterial small subunit ribosomal RNA", at positions 59 to 722 of the family's 1533-position model. Lineage: Bacteria; Pseudomonadati; Pseudomonadota; Betaproteobacteria; Burkholderiales; Comamonadaceae. The record is from RNAcentral.